This 501-nucleotide ribosomal RNA is filed under the name uncultured bacterium. RNAcentral's name for it is "bacterial SSU rRNA". It matches the Rfam family "Bacterial small subunit ribosomal RNA", at positions 30 to 527 of the family's 1533-position model. The record is from RNAcentral.
AUUGAACGCUGGCGGAAUGCUUUACACAUGCAAGUCGAACGGCAGCACGGGGCAACCUGGUGGCGAGUGGCGAACGGGUGAGUAAUACAUCGGAACGUGCCCAAUCGUGGGGGAUAACGUAGCGAAAGUUACGCUAAUACCGCAUACGAUCUACGGAUGAAAGCGGGGGAUCGCAAGACCUCGCGCGAGUGGAGCGGCCGAUGUCAGAUUAGGUAGUUGGUGGGGUAAAGGCUCACCAAGCCAACGAUCUGUAGCUGGUCUGAGAGGACGACCAGCCACACUGGAACUGAGACACGGUCCAGACUCCUACGGGAGGCAGCAGUGGGGAAUUUUGGACAAUGGGCGCAAGCCUGAUCCAGCCAUUCCGCGUGCAGGAUGAAGGCCUUCGGGUUGUAAACUGCUUUUGUACGGAACGAAACGGCGAGCUCUAAUACAGUUUGCUAAUGACGGUACCGUAAGAAUAAGCACCGGCUAACUACGUGCCAGCAGCCGCGGUAAACG